RNAcentral lists this ribosomal RNA (465 nucleotides) under uncultured bacterium. RNAcentral describes it as "partial 16S ribosomal RNA". It matches the Rfam family "Bacterial small subunit ribosomal RNA", at positions 29 to 507 of the family's 1533-position model. The record is from RNAcentral.
ACGCACGCUGGCGGCGUGCUUAACACAUGCAAGUCGAACGGAAAGGCCCUGCUUGCAGGGUACUCGAGUGGCGAACGGGUGAGUAACACGUGGGUGAUCUGCCCUGCACUUCGGGAUAAGCUUGGGAAACUGGGUCUAAUACCGGAUAGGAGCCAUCUUUAGUGUGGUGGUUGGAAAGUUUUUUCGGUGUAGGAUGAGCUCGCGGCCUAUCAGCUUGUUGGUGGGGUAAUGGCCUACCAAGGCGGCGACGGGUAGCCGGCCUGAGAGGGUGUACGGCCACAUUGGGACUGAGAUACGGCCCAGACUCCUACGGGAGGCAGCAGUGGGGAAUAUUGCACAAUGGGCGCAAGCCUGAUGCAGCGACGCCGCGUGGGGGAUGAAGGCCUUCGGGUUGUAAACUCCUUUCGCUAGGGACGAAGCUUUUUUGUGACGGUACCUAGAUAAGAAGCACCGGCUAACUACGUG